Long non-coding RNA from Cervus elaphus (red deer), 643 nucleotides. RefSeq lists it as uncharacterized. The record is from RefSeq and is a predicted model, not a curated record. Lineage: Eukaryota; Metazoa; Chordata; Mammalia; Artiodactyla; Cervidae. The transcript has 2 exons.
AUCCACUCCUCUCCUGAGGUGCUGACGACUCUGUGCUGUGUGUGCACCGCUCCUGAACCCGCCCAUCACCAAGAUGUCCUGCCAGCAGAACCAACAGCAGUGCCAGCCCCCUCCCAAGUGUGCCCCCAAGUGCCCCACCCCUAAAUGCCCCCCAAAGUGCCCCCCAGUCUCCUCCUGCUGUGGCCCCAGCUCCGGGGGCUGCUGCAGCUCUGGGUGUGGGGGCUGCUGCCUGAGCCACCACAGGCGCCGCAGGUCCCACCACCGCAGACCCCAGAGGUCUGACUGCUGCCCCCAGCCCUCGGGGGGCUCCGGGUGCUGCGGAGGGGGGAGCGGCCAGUCCUCUGGAGGCGGCUGCUGCUGAAGUGGACCCUGAGCCAAGAAGAGCUGAAUUAGAGGCAUGAAAAAGACAAGGCCAUCUUCCUUUGGCCUGACUGUCUGCUGAGAUGUAUCAGUGAAGAUUUCAAAUUUUGUCCUAGAAGUUCCUUCUGACCUGGAAUCCAGAAAUCUCUGUUCUUUCCUAAAAACUCACCUGCUGAUCCCUGAUCUCAUCUCUUCAAGCUGCCUUGGGAACCCCAGAGAAUCAUUCUUAUGCCACUGGCCGUUUCCUACCUGAAAUGAAACAAUAAAACAAAUCAUCCAUUCA